Molecule: signal recognition particle RNA, 298 nt
Filed under: Saimiri boliviensis boliviensis (Bolivian squirrel monkey)
Lineage: Eukaryota; Metazoa; Chordata; Mammalia; Primates; Cebidae
Description: Metazoan signal recognition particle RNA (ENSSBOG00000008072.1)
Rfam family: Metazoan signal recognition particle RNA
About the family: The signal recognition particle (SRP) is a universally conserved ribonucleoprotein. It is involved in the co-translational targeting of proteins to membranes. The eukaryotic SRP consists of a 300-nucleotide 7S RNA and six proteins: SRPs 72, 68, 54, 19, 14, and 9.
Source: RNAcentral
GCUGGGGCAUGGUAAUGUGCGCCUGCAAUCCCAGUUACUGGAGAGGCUGAGGUAGAAGGAUUGCUUUGAGCCCAGGAGUUCUAGGCUGUGAUGCACUAUGCUGAUUGGGUAUCUGCACUAAGUUCAUAUCAAUAUGGUGAUCUCCUGGGAGCCAGGUACCACCAGCUUGCCUAAGGAGGGGCGAGCUGGUCCAAUUUGGAAAUGGAGCAGGUAAAAACUUUGUGCUCAUCAGUUGUCGGGGUAGUGCCUGUGAGUAGCCACUACAAUCCAACCUAGGCAGCAUAGCGACACUGUCUCA